Pyrgilauda ruficollis (rufous-necked snowfinch) is the source of this 2795-nucleotide long non-coding RNA. RefSeq lists it as uncharacterized. NCBI's taxonomy places the organism in Eukaryota, Metazoa, Chordata, Aves, Passeriformes, Passeridae. The record is from RefSeq and is a predicted model, not a curated record. The transcript is spliced from 3 exons.
AGCAGCAGCACCCAAAGCUCUUGAGUCCUGCAUUGCCAUGUCCUACAGAUUUCCAAGGUGCCUGAGGAGGACCAAAACCUGAUUGAAGCUUUUCUAAUUGUCUGGAGGAUUCAUAUUAACUCUCACAUCAGUUAGCAUUUUCAUCACCAGUGAUUACAGACCUUCAGAGAGCUCUGGUAAAGAGAAUUCCUUCGCCAGACAGACAGCUCUGCAGUGUUUCUGUCUCAUGUGACUCCAGUGAAGGAGACCAGAGCUCUGCAGGUCACACCAGGAGACCUUUGCAAUGGUGGAGUCUAAACCAGAUUUUGUGUCUUUGUAUGUACUUUGAGUUUUUUGUAUGUACCUGGAUUUUUAUCAAAAUAUCAUUCUUUAGAAACUGCAGUUGUCAUAGUAAGUAAAAUAUUUUUAUGUAGAAGUUUAUGAUCUUGUACAAAAGGUCCUUUAUGAAAAAUUAUCCAUUAUUUGAGUUUUUGUAAAUCACCUAUACUUUGUAUUAAGUAUGUAAUGGUGGAAUUUAGUCUAAGAUUUCUGCAGAAUAUGAAAAUGUCUCUGACACUGUCUGCUCUAAUCAUGGAAUGUAUGUCUUCCUAAUAACACAGUGUAUUUGAAAAACAAUUAUAUGAUGUUCUCUUAUGUCUGAAUGCAUAAUAAAUGUAAUUGACUUACAGAAUAAUAAUUUGUUUUUAGUUAGGCAUGUAUUCAUCACUGAAUUGUUCACUUGUAGGUAUGCCUAAAAUCACCAUUGUAGAGAUCACCUUAGUUGCUGUUUUGGGUUGUUAAUUAAAAAAGUUGUCAUUAACCUGCAUGGUAUUUCAUUAUGUUAGGUACAAAGUUUUUUUUCAGCCAAUUUGAGAAGUAAAAUUGAUUUUGAAAUUCUCUUAUUUCAUGUGAUAAUAUAGCAAAAAUUAUGUUAAUUCACCCACAGUUAUCUAUCUGCUAUUUUUGCUUAUAAGAAGUUCUGCCCUGAAAAAAAAAAAUUAACAGAGCUGGAGGACUAUUUCUGCGAUACAACAUGCUAAAGUUAGAAGCUGAGAGUUGCAGUUUUGUCUUCACUUGUAAAAGGAUAUAGUUUUGGUUUUAUGUAAAUUUGAGACUGCAGUUUCUGUCUAACGAAACUAUACAUCAGAUUUUAUUUUUACCAGCUGGUUGCAUAUUUGCAAAAUUGAGCCAAAUGAAAUAUUUUAAAAAUUUCAGCCAAUUUUGAAAAUUUAUGAUGUCAGGAUGUUCUUACCUUAAAUUUCAGUAACCAGAAAGGGAAUGAAUCUGGCACCAUGCAACUUUGUGAUUCUCCAGUUCUAGUGCUGAAAAUGAGUUGUAUAGGUUUAACAGACAAAAAAAAAAAGUGAUCUUUUCUGUGCCAUUUGGUGUCAGUGGCAUGUUUCUAGAUUAAAAAAAAAAACUAUUGGAAAAAGUAUAACCCUUUAAGUGUGAAAAAUGUGCAUGUUAUUUUAAUCAGAAAUUUUGUUGUGUUUUUCACUUGUUUGGGUUUUAAAAUUUUUCCUCCUUUCUCUUACAAAGUCUAGCACAGAUAGGUUGGGUUUAGUCAAUGACUGGAAGUGCCUGGCUCAUUCUUCUGGCUAUUGAGUGAGUUUCAGUUUGUAAACUAUUUGCCUGAUUUUGGAAGAGGUGCACAUUUGCUUUAACAAUUGUACAAUUGCACAAUUGCUACAUGCACAAUUGCUUUAACAAAUACACCAUUUUCCCCCCUACUUUCACAGUUUUUGAGACACACAGCUGCUGUCCACAUUUGGAAGUGCUGUGCAGAGCUGGAGCCUACUGUGUUGCCACAUCCUGAGUUAAGAGUUCAUUUAUGGGGACAAAUAAGCUUGUGCCCCCAUAAUAAUUUGAAUUAUUUUAUGAGGUAAUAGUUUUCUUUAUCUUCUUAUGGUUUUAUUUUUUUAAAUGGAACCUAAAAUCGUAUCCACCUAGAGUACAAAAUCUUAUUAACGUGAUUAUUGAAAUAAGACUGUGAGUGUGCAUGAAGCUGUUAGAAUGGAAGUCUUCAAUAUGCAAGUACGCUUGCUACCAGUAAAUUUUGUUUUAUUUCAUCCUGUCAUGCUGGGAGUGAGUGUUGAAAGACGAACGGGCAAGUGUUGCUCAGGCAGAGGGGAGAAGCACGUCAUCCAGCCCCCAGAAUAGCAUCGGCAGUAAAUACGGUCAUGCUGUUCCUCCCCGAGAUAGACCCAGAUCACAUUCGUAGCACCCACCGGGUCUGCUGCUUACCAGACCUUCAGGCCUUUGAUGAAACAUUUACAAAUGCAGCUGCAGUUCAGAGGGAUCUUCUGCCAGCACUGAAGUAGCUGACAUCAAGAAAACGGGAGGAAACGGGAUCACAAGGCAUGGAGUUCAAACAAAACGCAGUUUAGGGGGAAUACAAAUUUAAUCACAGUAUGAAAAUGCUUCUCCAAGAUAUGAACCCUGUACUUGUUAAAACUCCCGUUGCGUGUUAGCUUGUUUCCCAGUGACGUAGAACUGUUAAAGCAUGAAGCUUUUGUAGAGGGGGAAAGGUGAACAGAAAAAUAGCUCUUUGUUCAAUUAUCUUGGGUCACACACAGUGUCAAAACUGGAAUUAAAAUAUAUUGUAAAAUGAAAUCAGAGAGAAGCUGAGAUUAAAAUUUUUUUCCAGUUUUAGUUAUUUCUAACUUUGUGCAAUAUAUUGAAAUGAAGUUAGAUAGCCCUGAAGGUCUGUGGCAGUGGCCUAUCUAGCACAUUAGAGGCGAAAUUUUAAUUAUUCAAGGCCAAGAAUUAAACCCUGUCAGUUUCUUCAUCUUGAAAAGAUAGAUUAUCCUACUGGG